UAAUGACAAUGGUGCUGUGUAAACCCU
Molecule: non-coding RNA, 27 nt
Filed under: Homo sapiens (human)
Lineage: Eukaryota; Metazoa; Chordata; Mammalia; Primates; Hominidae
Source: RNAcentral